Girardinichthys multiradiatus is the source of this 471-nucleotide long non-coding RNA. RefSeq lists it as uncharacterized. Lineage: Eukaryota; Metazoa; Chordata; Actinopteri; Cyprinodontiformes; Goodeidae. The record is from RefSeq and is a predicted model, not a curated record. The transcript has 2 exons.
ACAAACUCGAGCCACCCUCUAAGUUUAUGCUUCAUUCUUUGACCUCGUUUAACGUUGUUUUUUGCUUCUCUGCAGAUUUUGAUAGCCUAAGCUUAGGAUCUAUGUCACUGAGUUUCUGACUAUGUUUCUGGAAGUUAUUCUGGAUGAUCCAGCCCGUCUACGUUCUGUGGAUUCUUAUCCUGUCUUCUGCCUUCAUUUGGAUUCACAUCAAGCUGGCAGCUUCCUGCUCUCUUCAUCUCCUGAGCCAAGCCACAAGCGUACCCUGUCCACCCUCCAACGUAAGCCACCGCACAUCGAACUUGUUCCUUUGUUCCGAGCUCACACAGAACAGCACCAAGUGAACUACAGAUAUCCCUGCUUAAGACCUGGAUCCUCAAUCUCAUUCCCCCUGGCAACCUGACCACCAUUACUCAUGAGAUUUUUGUCCGUUUAGUUCCUGAUUACAUCAUCAAUAAAACAGUCUUUAUUUUA